CCGGGUUCGGGCGGCCCGCCCCCUGCCCGCUGACGCACUGCGCAUGCCCGACCGCCAGGCGGUGCCCACAGCGCCUCCUGCAGGACUAGCUGAGCCACAGCCUUCUCUGUACCGCGACCUGCUGGGCUUCCCCCUACUACCGGCAUCAUUCUGUGCCUUUCGAGGUCCCAGAAGGCUGUUGGGCCACAUCCACCCAGACACCGGCAAAAGCCACUUGAAAAGGGAUGUGUUCCAACCAGCAUCAGUCAACAGGACGCCAGCAGUAACUUCCUAUCCCGUGGCGGCUGAUUCUCCAAGUGACAGCUCUGUGCCUCUCCUGCACCUGCUGACAAGCCAACUGAUGUCCUUGGCCCAUAGGUAAUCACCAGACUCUUUGCUUAGCACACAGACCUCCGGUGAUCCAGGCAGCAGCUUCCUUUUCGGCCCCAUCUCACUCCUGCACUACAUUCUGUGCUGUUCCCAUGACAUUGCCUGCUUUUUUGGCCUCCCGGCCUUGUAUCCACUGUUGUCCUCUUUCCUGGCUGGCAAACUCCUACCCAUUUUCAAGACUCAACCCAAACCCACAUCUGCUACCUAAGAUAAUCCACACUCCAGGAGUGAUGACCCAAAGCGCCCACCUUCCCACUCACCUGGAAGAAAUUCUGAGGCACAACCACCCCUGAUCACAGAAAAGGAGAAAGAACAGAAAGAUACUCCUGAAGCCAAGGUAACCCCCGCCUCCAAGAUUCUGCAAACAGCAGUGGGAAACUCCCAAACUCAUCCAUGACCCAGGAACCCUCCCUGUCUUGGAUGUCUCCUCUACAAACAACAGAACCUCUGCCUUAGAGAACUAUCUCCUUUUCUUCCUCAAAUACCCUCUCCUCUCUUAUCUGGGUCAGCUUCCCUGGCCUUGCUCUCUAAAAAGCCUAAAAUCCAGGGCGCCUGGGUGGCUCAGUCAGUUAAGUGUCUGACUUCAGCUCAGGUCAUGAUCUAGUGGUUUGUGAGUCCGAGCCCUGCAUGGAGGA
This is an RNA transcript of Leopardus geoffroyi (Geoffroy's cat), 1004 nucleotides long. RefSeq lists it as uncharacterized. Lineage: Eukaryota; Metazoa; Chordata; Mammalia; Carnivora; Felidae. The record is from RefSeq and is a predicted model, not a curated record. The transcript has 3 exons.